GGGGAUAUUGCACAAUGGGGGAAACCCUGAUGCAGCGACGCCGCGUGAGGGAAGAAGGUUUUCGGAUUGUAAACCUCUGUCUUCGGUGACGAAACGAGACGGUAGCCGAGGAGGAAGCCACGGCUAACUACGUGCCAGCAGCCGCGGUAAUACGUAGGUGGCAAGCGUUGUCCGGAAUUACUGGGUGUAAAGGGAGCGUAGGCGGGAAAGCAAGUUGAAUGUUUAAGGUACGGGCUCAACCUGUACAAGCGUUCAAAACUGUUUUUCUUGAGUGGAGUAGAGGUAAGCGGAAUUCCUAGUGUAGCGGUGAAAUGCGUAAAUAUUAGGAGGAACACCAGUGGCGAAGGCGGCUUACUGGGCUUUAACUGACGCUGAGGCUCGAAAGCGUGGGUAGCAAACAGG
Molecule: ribosomal RNA, 402 nt
Filed under: uncultured bacterium
Lineage: Bacteria
Description: bacterial SSU rRNA
Rfam family: Bacterial small subunit ribosomal RNA
Source: RNAcentral